UACGGAGGAUGCGAGCGUUAUCCGGAUUUAUUGGGUUUAAAGGGUGCGUAGGCGGGCUGUUAAGUCAGCGGUCAAAUGUCGGGGCUCAACCCCGGCCUGCCGUUGAAACUGGCGGCCUCGAGUGGGCGAGAAGUAUGCGGAAUGCGUGGUGUAGCGGUGAAAUGCAUAGAUAUCAUGAAGAACUCCGAUCGCGAAGGCAAGUGUCCGGGGUGCAACUGACGCUGAGGCUCGAAAGUGCGGGUAUCAAACAGG
Molecule: ribosomal RNA, 252 nt
Filed under: uncultured Bacteroidales bacterium
Lineage: Bacteria; Pseudomonadati; Bacteroidota; Bacteroidia; Bacteroidales
Description: partial 16S ribosomal RNA
Rfam family: Bacterial small subunit ribosomal RNA
Source: RNAcentral